UACGAAGGGGGCUAGCGUUGUUCGGAAUUACUGGGCGUAAAGCGCACGUAGGCGGACCGGUAAGUUAGAGGUGAAAUCCCAGAGCUUAACUCUGGAACUGCCUUUGAUACUGCCGGUCUUGAGGGUGAGAGAGGUAAGUGGAACUGCGAGUGUAGAGGUGAAAUUCGUAGAUAUUCGCAAGAACACCAGUGGCGAAGGCGGCUUACUGGCUCAUUUCUGACGCUGAGGUGCGAAAGCGUGGGGAGCAAACAGG
This 253-nucleotide ribosomal RNA is filed under the name uncultured bacterium. RNAcentral's name for it is "partial 16S ribosomal RNA". It matches the Rfam family "Bacterial small subunit ribosomal RNA", at positions 524 to 776 of the family's 1533-position model. The record is from RNAcentral.